This 254-nucleotide ribosomal RNA is filed under the name uncultured bacterium. Its description in RNAcentral is "partial 16S ribosomal RNA". It matches the Rfam family "Bacterial small subunit ribosomal RNA", at positions 524 to 776 of the family's 1533-position model. The record is from RNAcentral.
UACGUAGGCAGCAAGCGUUGUUCGGAGUUACUGGGCGUAAAGAGCUCGUAGGUGGUUUGUCGCGUUGUUCGUGAAAACUCACAGCUCAACUGUGGGCGUGCGGGCGAUACGGGGCAGACUUGAGUACUGCAGGGGAGACUGGAAUUCCUGGUGUAGCGGUGGAAUGCGCAGAUAUCAGGAGGAACACCGGUGGCGAAGGCGGGUCUCUGGGCAGUAACUGACGCUGAGGAGCGAAAGCGUGGGGAGCGAACAGG